Molecule: long non-coding RNA, 790 nt
Organism: Pundamilia nyererei
Lineage: Eukaryota; Metazoa; Chordata; Actinopteri; Cichliformes; Cichlidae
Exons: 3
Source: RefSeq, a predicted model, not a curated record
GGAGAGUCUCCAUCCAGCUGGAUCACUGUCACAGGUAAACCUACAACCACAGUAAUGCCAUUCACCUCGGGACCACACCCUGAUCUCCCCUCCCUCAAGCUUGGGUUCAGAGUGGUCCUCCACCUGGUGGUGUUCUGUCCAUACCUUAUUUCCACUGUCCUCAUGGUGUCUUUAUAUCUACACAGAGCCAGAGGAAAUGACCUUUGUGCAUCCAACCUGGCCACUCAACCUGAACAGGGAUUGGAUGAUGAGUAUGAUGAUGUCAUCACUGAUGUCACUACAAAGCAUCACUUCUAAAUCAGAGCUCUGUUGUGUCUUUGAGCAUUUCACUAUUGCCUCAGUUAUUCUUCUGUGGGAAAUCUAUGAUGUAAACAUCCACAUGACCUCUUGAGAAAUGUAACUACACACACAGCCUGCAAUGACUUGAAUAGCGUGGAAGAUUGUGUUAUGGGGAUAAUGGGAGUUUCCAGUGACUAGGAUGUCGAGUUCCCGCAGACUUUUAUAUCAAGUUUAACUUUGUCAGCCUGUCACCUCUUUUGUGGAGACGAUUUGAAUAAAUGGUGUUCAUCUAGAACUGCUUUUAUGUAGAUUUAUGUAGACUAGAUUCUAUGAUUAUGAUAUGAUUCUAUGAUAGAUUUUAUGUAUAUUCCUGCUUUGAUAAACUACAAACAUAUAAAUAUGUGAGUUAAACUAGACAUCUUAAUCAUUUCUUGGUUUUGAUUCUGGUUCCUUAAUCAGCUCAAAUCCCACAGAGCUUGAAAAUACAAAGUGGAAUUUGAAAGGUCUUUGA